RNA transcript from Musa acuminata AAA Group (dessert banana), 1237 nucleotides. It is a transcript of the gene named sm-like protein LSM1B, with no coding region annotated. Lineage: Eukaryota; Viridiplantae; Streptophyta; Magnoliopsida; Zingiberales; Musaceae. The transcript has 8 exons. The record is from RefSeq and is a predicted model, not a curated record.
CAAAUAAUACCUGCUUCGAGAGCAUCCCAGCGGUACAAAAGGAACGAGGAUGCUGCAGACACCUUCAGCAAUGCAGUCCGAUAUCUCCACCUGUAUAAGAUUUCGUUAUGCAUACCUUCUUCGUCCUUUUUGCUAAGGAUCAUGAAAGCUGUUCCUGAUUCUUCGCUCCAUCUGUAGUACAAUCUCUCGCUCACGCUUUAUUUUUUUGGUGGGAACCAUGAGGAUCUUGAGCUGGGUGCAAACCAAGUUCAGUGGGAGACAGGAGCAUAAGCGAUGUGCUGCUGCUUUGAGUUCUGCUUCUUGUACUUCAAUCCCUGUUAUUUCUAAAGAAGAAUUCCGGGACUGGCCGCAGGCGUUGUUGGCAAUCGGGACAUUAGGCAACAGAGACAUCAAAGAAGACCCACAAAGACCUGAAUCCUCGGAAAACCUGCAAGCUUCAGAAGAUCUGCCUGAUUUCACCAUGGAAGAAGUGAACAGAUUCCAGGUAGAGCUAGUUAAGCUACUGACUCGAAAGCCGAAUUCUAGCACCAGUGCACCAGAGAUCGCUGAAGCAGAUCGGGCUAAUCUGCUACUGAAUUGGUUCCUUAAUCGCCCAUCGAGCUUGGAAGUUGACAGGAAACUGGAGAAUCUUGGCGAUCUCUCUCCCAGUACCAAGAUCAUACUAUCUAAAGUGAGAGAUGCUUUGUUGAGCAACCGCACCGCGAUUAAGAAAGAAUCACUCUCAUUUCUUUUCAAGAAGAUGUUUGUAUGUGGAAGUGGCUUUGCGCCGCCUCGGAACUUGAAGGAUCCAAUUCCUGAGCCGAGGAUUGAUAAGGUUUUGAGGGCAAUUCUGACCAAGAAGAUUUACCCUCGUAGCUCUGCUCUGGCACCAGCAAAGAAGUACUUGGCGAAUAAACCCACUGAGAAGAUGCAGGAAGAGGACAAAAGGAACGAUCAGUAUAAAUGGGUUAAGACCGAUUCUGAGUUUAUAGAACUUAUUGUUCUAGAGAUCUAGAGACCAAUCUAUCGAGAGAGUCUCGGGGAACGAGACCAAGAAAGAUGAGCUCAAACCGAAACGGCAAGGAAAGGAGGCGCAGAGCAGAACCAGAAGUUCUCUGCAAUAAAAGCUUCUUGUAUUAUUACGUGAUGGGCGAAAGCUUCUGGGUAUUCUUUGUUCUUUUGACCAGUUUGCAAAUGUGGUUCUUCAAGGUGCUUGUGAGCGAGUAAUUGUAGGAGAUCUGUAUUGUGAUAUUCCUUU